This 328-nucleotide ribosomal RNA is filed under the name uncultured eukaryote. RNAcentral describes it as "partial 18S ribosomal RNA". It matches the Rfam family "Eukaryotic small subunit ribosomal RNA", at positions 1470 to 1796 of the family's 1831-position model. The record is from RNAcentral.
CCCUUAGAUGUUCUGGGCUGCACGCGCGCUACACUGAUGCGCUCAACGAGUUUUAACCUUGCCUGGAAAGGUUGGGUAAUCUUUUUAAAACGCAUCGUGAUGGGGAUAGAUUAUUGCAAUUAUUGCUCUUCAACGAGGAAUGCCUAGUAGGCACAAGUCAUCAGCUUGUGCCGAUUACGUCCCUGCCCUUUGUACACACCGCCCGUCGCUACUACCGAUUGAAUGGCUCAGUGAGGCCUUCGGACUGGCCCAGGGAGGUUGGCAACGACCACCCAGGGCCGGAAAGUUGGUCAAACUUGGUCAUUUAGAGGAAGUAAAAGUCGUAACA